UUACGGUCAAAACACGCUGAAAACACCGGUUCUCGUUCGAUCACCGAAGUUAAGCAUCGUAGUACUUAGAUGGGGGACCGCUUGGGAACAUCAAGUACUGUAAG
This is a non-coding RNA of Acanthosepion pharaonis, 104 nucleotides long. Lineage: Eukaryota; Metazoa; Mollusca; Cephalopoda; Sepiida; Sepiidae. The record is from the annotation of a GenBank genome assembly.